CCUCGCCGCCGCCAAGCAGGUGCGGGGAGCCAGGCUCCGCGCGCAGGCGACGUACAAGGUGAAGCUGGUGACGCCCGAGGGCGAGGUGGAGCUGGAGGUCCCCGACGACGUCUACAUCCUGGACCAGGCCGAGGAGGAGGGCAUCGACCUGCCCUACUCCUGCCGCGCCGGCUCCUGCUCCUCCUGCGCCGGCAAGUUGGUGUCCGGCGAGAUCGACCAGUCCGACCAGAGCUUCCUCGACGACGACCAGAUGGAGGCAGGGUGGGUGCUCACCUGCCACGCCUACCCCAAGUCCGACAUCGUCAUCGAGACCCACAAGGAGGAGGAGCUCACCGCAUAAGCUGCUUACCCUGCCUCUCUUUGCAACAAGAUCGAGCUGAUAUCAUAUUAUCUCCCAUCAUGCAUGCAUGCAUGGAUAUCGCCAGAUACACCGAUUUGUUUGUGCUCGAAUGAAUUGCUCGAUGCAUGGUUUGCUCCAGUAAUAAUGUCUUCGAAUUACUACCUUUUUGUACCGUAAGAUAUACUACUGUCGUAAUACUAGCGUGUACUUAAUUCAACGUACUGAAAUGAAUCCUGAUGGCUGAGGUGUCUCUCUGAUUAAUAAUAUCUUCUUUUUUACUUAAGAUAAGAGACUGCUGAAUGUUGGUUGCUAACGGUGGUGGUUGAUGUUGAAGUUUUGUUGCUGCAAGUUGAUUGCUUCGCCGCGUUAUGCCUUGCCUUGUUUCUCAUUUAUGUAUUUUUGAUGAUGCAUCGUCGCACUAGGUAGCUCUUGAAUUGUGUUUGGGGGCACCUUGAAAUUAAUAAACAGUAAGGUAGGUCACAAUGUCUUCAACCCCCUUUCUAGAAACCACUCUAACAUCAAAUAGAAUAUUACUCUAUUGAUUAGUACAGAGAUGCUAUAUACACUUUGUCACAGUUUGUACAGAGAUUGUAGGUGAAUGCAAUUGAAUUAAACCAUAUGUGACAUGCACCGUGAAGUCGAAACCUUGCAACAUAGUGUCAGAAAUAACAAAUCGAUGUCUUACUUCAUUAGAUGUGGAACCAUCUACCCUCGUUGUUGAUCAUCAUAAUGGUUUUAUAAACCCCCAACAUGUUGUGUUUUAAAACGAUUGUACCAUGUUCUUGUUUCGACUGCCGGGGGGAGGGCUCGUGAUGACCUACUCUUUCUCAAGUUAUCAUGUUAGUCACUUGGAUGACUUAGGCCCUGUUUGGAACUAUAAUACUCCCUCCGUUCCAUAAUAUAAGUCUUUUUAAAGAUUCCACUAAAAAACUACAUACAGAUGUAUAUAAACAUACUUUAGAGUGUAGAUUCACACAUUUUGCUCCGUAUGUAGUCCACUAGUGAAAUCGCUUAAAAGACUUAUAUUUAGGAACGGAGGGAGUAGAUUAUAAUAAUCUAGAUUAUGAAGAUAGAUUAUAUAAUCUGGUUUAUAAAAAUAAUCUAGAUGGACAUGUUUGGAGGCCGGAUUAUAUAAACUGUAAUCCAGAUUUUACAUUGCAUAAUGACCUGUCUGCCCUCUGUUUAAAAAAAAAAAAGGGUGGCGGUGGUAGGAAUGUAAUUAUCUCCAACUUUACAAGGGUAAUAGAUCAUUAGCAAUCCAUAAUCUGAUUUUAGCUGGUAUAGACUAGAUUAUGAGUUUUUAAUAAUAUAUCCAUCUAGUUUUUAUAAUCUACACCAUAAGCUGUCCUGUUUGAAGACAAAAUAGAUUAUAGAAACUGGAUUAUAUAAUCUGGAUGGUUCCAAACAGGGCCUUAGAUGGAGAUAAUGCACACCAUUGAAAAAAUUAUACUUAUAGAUAGGGUCACUUUAGUGGCUGGAAUAGUCUCGGACCUGUCACUCGUACUUCGGUCCAACAACGUACAUGCCAUUGCAAUUUACUGAGCAGGGAUUGCCGCCCGCCACUGAUUUUCUAGUCCCACAUUGGCCAUGGGGAAACCUUUUCAGUGGCGGGCGGUCGGGUACAACCUACCACUGGCAGUGAAGUUGUCACUGGCAGGCACCGGUUUCCUCCAACCAUUAGUGCACCACAUAUGUAAUUUUCUAAUUUCCUGCAUUUGUUUUUACAUUUUAGUGUGGUAUUCUUUUGUGACUUUGUUACUGUAUGAGAAUUGUUUGACCUUUGUAGUAUCUUUAUUUGCUAUAUUUUAGACAUUUUAUUAAUAAAGUUGUAUUUAAUUGAAUAUAAUUAUAUUUUUUGAACUACAACUAUAUAUUUUAAAUUACUUUCAAAGGUUCGAAGACAAAUAUUUAUGUCUCGUGAAACAAUAGUAUUGUUUCACCAAUAUUUGAGCAGUUUUUCAGCAUAUGUAGUUCAUAUUUAAUUUAUGUCCAUUAGAUAAACUAAAAAUGCAUUUAAUGCCCCAAAUAUAUCAUAUAAACCUAGAAACGCAUUUAAUGCCCCAAAUAUAUCAUAGAAAACUAGAAUAGUCCUGAAUUUGACCAAGGAACUUGUAAUGGUGUAUACCAAAAAUAAAAAAAGUUUCUGUUAAAAAAUGAUGAAAAAAUUGUGUUCCCAUUCAAACCCAACAUUUUCCCUUAGAAACGUUGAUACUUCCGUGGAGACUGUUAUUUCUACGUGAAGUGCAUCGGAUUUUUUCUGUGAGUCUCUAAUUUUGUUACCACACCUUCGGUUUCAUAUCAUGACACCAUGCAAAGUUCCAUCAUUUUCAAACUGAAUUUACAUCUAUGUAUAAAAAAAAUCAAUACUCUUAAUAGCUAGAAAUUGAUCUGAUGCUUAAAAAUAGCAAAUCAACCCAAAAGGUGAUAAAGUCUAUCAUGAGUCUUUAUGAAGUAAAUUCAACCCCACAAAAGGUGGAAAUUAAAUUCUACCCCUAAAGCAGUAAAGCAAACAUAUUGCAAAAAAUGCAAAAAAGUAGCGUGCGACCAUAAACACCCUCCAUUGAUUGAUUUUGGUCACAUUCCCGCGAGUGAGUGGGACAUGCCCGCACCUUCAACCUGCAAAUGUGGUUGCCUUAUCCCCCAUUGUCGACCUCUCCCAUCCGACUCUACCCAAUCCCUAGCUUGCAAUCACCAUUGCUGCACCCGUCGUUGUCGCCGGCGAGGGAAUCAUCGUCUUUUUCAUGGGUUGUCAUUGUUGCAACAACCCCGGUCAGCGUGGCCGAAAUGCCCACCCCAUGGCCUCCUCCACCAGCAAUGGUGGCCUAACCCGCUGCCACUAGCCUCCUCUUCCUCCAAGCCCGAUGCCUUUAACUCUCCCCAUGUCUCCUUGCGCGUCGGUGGCCCCAAUCUCCUGGUUGUAUUUUGCAAUUGCAAAGGACAUUGUAUUCGUUGUGAGAUACUUAAAUCUGUUGAAAGGAUAUCGAAUUCUAUAAGCAACAUGCUUCUUGCUUGUGGAAUGUGCAGGCUAUUCUUUCAUGGAAAAUUUGGUCUUAGGAUACUUGGGGAUAGGAAAUAGAGAAUUAAUCAAGGUAGAUUGUUGUUAAUCCAUUUUGCUUCAUAUCCUUCUAUUGAUGUAUGAUUAGCUCGUUCUUUCUAGACUACGCCAUAUACAUCAUUUCUUUAGCAAAUUUAUUUACUCCUGCUUGCAUAACUAUGUCGUAUGCAUCAUUAUGCUUAGCUCCUGCUUGCAAGAUUACUUGAGGAUAAUAGGAAGCAAUUAUGGUUUCAGAAUAAACCAAUCAGAAUAAGAAACACAUCCUCUAUACUCACAUCAUCUUUUAUACCUCAAUGCUUGUAGGUGUAGUGUUUUUUGCCCCAUGCAAAUUUGUGUUACGUCAUCUUUUAGAUACAAAUCAUGGUACCCUUGUUCCUGUCUUGACAUCAUGGUCAUGUUUUAAAAAAAGCAUUUUCUUAUUUAUGUUACACCCCACAUGUAUGUAUACAUAUAUUUCUUUUUUAUGUCUCUUUGAAGGUUGUUAGUGCCACAUGUAGGUGGGGUUGUAUUUUUUUAUUGGUGAAAGUUGUUGGUUCUACAUGUUGUGUCACCUUAUAUAAGGUGUAUUACACUUUAAAUAGUAAUGUGCAUAUCUCCAAAAUUUGUAGGGCUUCAAAAUGAGUGCCAAAAUUCUGGCGAAAUGUUGAUUUAUUUCCAUUUCACCACAUUUUGAGCACUCAAUAUUUUCAAUUUUUUUAGCAAAACUAUGCCCAACUUUUCCAAUGAUUCAUAAUUGUUUACCCUUAUUAUUUUAUAGAUGUACUGGCUAUACUAUAGUGUAUAAAUGAUGCGACGAACUAUGUGUUUUCUAUUUAAUUUCUCAACAUGAAUGUAUGCAAUCAACCAUGUAUACCCAUGAUGUGGUAACAUCAACGUAGGUGUGUGCCACAGGUGCUUAUCAACUCUAAGGAAUUCUACGUAGAUCUUGACGAGAACUUUCCACAGAGGAUUGUACGUUUUAAUUCAACAUGUGUUGUGGAUGCUGAAUUGCUCACAUAUAUAAAAUUACCCAAAAAAUGUCUAUUUUUCAUAUUUCUCCAUGCAUCCCUUGUUAUGCAAGGCUCACUUCCUACAUAAAGUGAACGUGCCAUAGAGGAGAAGGUUACAUUUGAGCUCAAGAUGAUCAUGUUAAAAAAUGGCACAACCUUCAACCUUACGGUCACCAACGAGGCACACGGAACCUUUCAGUUGCCCAUGUUGAAGAGGGAUUGCAACCGAAUAAAUGAUGCAAAAUGCGAAGGCAUUCUUGUUUUUUUAGCGAAGGCGUUCUUUGUCGUUUCUUGGCGAACAAGAUGAUGAUGACAACAUCUAUAUGUGGUUCACACCGCCCCCACCACCAUAGUUGUUCUUGGUGGAAGGAUUCGGAGUUCAUAGGCAUAGUUUUAUCAUGCACUUCAUUUAAUGCAUAUGUUAUAUCUUUUUAUAAUCAUCCAAAUUUAUUCCUCAAAUAACGGCUAUAUCAUUUAAAAUUAAAAGAGAAAUAGAGUUUAGGGGACUAGAAUCCCAAAUAGAAGAGGGUCUAUAGGUAAAACUAGUCUUUGCUAGAGAAUCUGCUAUUUUGCUUCCCAAAGCAAUGGGCAAAAGAUGUGCCAGCAAAGUCCAUCACCAGAAAAUAGCAUUCCACGAUAGUGGCUGCAUCUGGCUCGAAAUUAUUCGUAUGCCAGUUCACAACCUCCACAACUAGGAUACCCAUGAUGUUUCGAUAAUCACAUUAGGUUUCCAUCACAUUAUUGCACACAAUGUUUCCAGCCAAACGAGCCCUUUGCGAAUGGCACUUAACUCUAUCAAAUCGGCACUACUGACAUGAGGCAAAUACCAUGUAACAGUGAAUGACACUUAACUCUAUCAAAUCGGCACUACUAACAUUAGGCAAAUACCAUGUAGCAGUGAAUGGCACUUAACUCUAUCGAAUCGACACUAUCGACAUGAAGCAAAUACCACAUAGCAGCGAGAGAAAGUUGCCUUUGUCAUCACGUACAAUAGCUCCCAUCGCACUCGAUUGUGUUUCAUAACGGAAAGAAGCAUCCACACUAACAUUAACACUUCCCAUGUUAGGUCUCUUCCAUAUAUGAUAUUUUUUUCAUACAGCUGAUUUGAAGUUACUGCUCUUAUGAAAUCUUUGGCCAAAACAUUGAUAGAAACUGCUCCCUUUUAGGGUUUUGGAGAGUGUAGGAUCGAAAGUAUGUCUAGUGGAGGGGGCUUCAUUAGACUACUUGAUAAGAUAAAAACUGAACCUUUUUCCUAAUUUUAGUUGUGGGCUAGUUUUAGCAAUUAUGACUAGUCAAGUUCAUCCUACUCAUGCAUAUCUAAGAUUAUAGCAGCGGAAAGUAAAGACAUGCAAAUGUAAUGAAGAGGGUAAGGUAGGAAGAUCAAAUGCAAAGGUCGACACGGUGAUUUUUGGCGUGGUUCUGAUAGGUGGUGCUAUCGUACAUCCAUAUUAGUGGAGACUUCAACCCACGGAGGGUAACAGCUGCGAGAUUACACAAAGGGCUCCACCCACAAGGGCUCCACGAAGAAGCGGCCUUGUCCAUUCCACCAUGGCUUACGUCCACACAAGACUAACCUCACUCACGGUAGAUCUUCACGAAGUAGGCGAUAUCCUUGCCCUUACAAACUUCUUGGUUCAACUCCACAACAUGAAGUAGGAGGCUCCCAAGCGACACCUAACCAAUCUAGGAGGCACCACCCUCCAAAAGUUAAUAGAUGCAAUAGAAGGAUGAACUCCUUGCUCUUGUGCUUCAAAAGAUAGUCUCCUCAACACUCAAUCACUCUCUCAUAGAUUUUGCAUGGGUAGGAGAGAUUGAUCCCAUGGAAAGCAACUUGGGGAGGCUAGAGAUCAAGUUUCAAAUGGUUGAAUUGGAAUCUCUUGAUCUUAACACAUGCAUGAGUAGGUGGCUUUCUCUCAGAAAUAUGGAUCUGGCAAGUGGGUGUGUGUUCUCAGUGCUUCCUUUUCGAAUGCGAGGAGGUGGAGGGGUAUAUAUAGACAUCUCCCAGAAUCCAACCAUUACCACAUUAUUUCCCAAUGCGGUGACACCGAAAGGAAUCUUAGUGGUACCAAGUUGCAAUAAAUGUGGCACCUUUUGAAUUCUUGGUAGACCAAUAUAUGAAUCUCGAUGGUAAAGAUACGAUGAUCUAGACCAGUUUCCAAAUCUCGGUGAGACCAAUUCCAAUCUCGGAAAUUCUGAUUGUUGGAAUUUUCUCAACAGAAAGUUGGUCAUUGAAUCUCGGUGGCUCUCAUAUGAAAGUUUGUGGUACCGCCAGAUUAGAGUCUGGCAACGGAUCCAUUGGGUGGAAAAUUAGUAGGGCCAAGUGGAAAAUAUUGGUGGCACCGAUUUUGCUCGUUUAGCUUUGGACAGGGAUAUCUUGUGGGAGAAUGGCUUAGUAGUUUUGGUGGCUAUCUCUAAGCACUUGAGCAACCAAUUCACCGUAAUACCUCACCCCCUUUAAAUAGUAUUGGCCUUCCUAUGGACUCAAAGUGAUUUAUCACAUAUGUAAAAUGUAGAGUCUUCUUGCUUGAAGCUUGAGCUAAUCCUAUUCCUUCCUUCAUCAAGGGGUUUCUCCACACAAUCCUUUAGCCAAGGCAUCUUUGAACUUUUCUAAAAUAUACUUGGAUAACAUCAUUAGUCCAAUGAUGCAUAUGUUGUGAUCAAUUAUCAAAACCACCUUAGGGAGCAAUUGUGCUUUAAAUCUCUCCCUUUUUGGUAACUGACGACAACAUAUAGAUCAAAGCUUCAACAAAAGGUAUAAUCAAUUAUUAGCAUCGACGCUUUGAGAAGUACGUGGAAAGCAAGAGAUGCCCCUAUAUUUGUGCAUUAUUUUAUAUUUGCAUUGGAAUGCAAAUGCACAAUCGAUUAGGAUCAUGGGUCACUCUUCCAUGUCACAUAUAGCUUGGUGGUGCGCAUAAAUGAUAUGAAUAAAUAGUAAUGCACAUAACACCAAACAAGCAAGUGAAUGAUCAUCAAGUAGAUGGCUCCAAGGUAAUAACGUGGUAGCAGCAAUCAAACAAAGUAUAGAUCAAACACUUCUCCCAAACACAUAAAGUCAACCAAAAGACCAAAAAAUUGAAAAACCAAAUGAGACCAAAUAAAAUGCAAACCUCUCCCUCUCGAAGACUAUUUGAUCUAUACACUUGUCCUCCUUUGGCGACAAGUUACCAAAAAGUUUGAAGGUCUAGAACUAAUUAUCUCUCUGGCUUGAACUCCUCCGGUAGAUGAUGAUGGAGUGGAUAGGAGAGCGUCGAUGAAGGCUUUUGCACAUGUCCCUGGAGCUGGAGGUGUUGACACUAGAGGUGCAGGAGCAGGAGUUGAAGGUGCUAAAGCUUGAGCUGAUGAAGAUGGUCUUGCUUCCAGAACUGGCAUAGUUGUUGACCUAGUCUGGGUCGUGAACUGAGUAGUAGUAGGAAGAGGCGACUCUUCCUCAUCACUUCUAGAGCGGGAUAUAUGCACAGAAUCAACUUUAUGCUGGAGCUGCUCAACAGUGGUAGUCAACUCCGUUACCUUAACCUCCAAGUCAUGGAAUUUUGUCUCCACGAUCCUCUCAAGUCUCUUCUGGUUCAGCAAGAUCUCGGAAAUUUUCUUCUCCAUCCCUUGGAUGGUACUGACCAAGAAUGACAUCUGCUCAUCUCUGGUCCUGAGCUAUGCGGUUGAAGCUGGAGCAUUCCUAGCAGCCGCUGUCUCUGCUACCUCUGCUGCCGCUUGAGCUGUAGCUGAGCUAGGAUGGCUAGGGUCCAUCACAACUUCAUUAUCUUCAAACUCUGGCUGAAGUGGCAGGUGGGGACGAUCAAGUAGAUAUGCAUGCUUGCCAAUCUUGGCAUUGAUGAGCAUCUGAAUAUAUGGAGCAUAUCCACAGGAUUUCUUUUGAUCUACAGCAGUCUUCCUCACAUGCUCAACUAUCAAGUCCAUCAUUAUGAACCGGAAGUGGGUGUCUAGAUGAUCCAACAUGUUGAUGGAAUAACCUCUAAUAAUCUUAUCCUCUCCUGAUUUGGGCAUGAGGGUGUAUCUCAUAAUGGUGUUUGUAGUAGGUAUCCCUGCUUGCAAGAAAUAGACAAAUCCAAACUUGUACAUCUGCACAUAUUUAUGAGGCACUGGCUUGUACAUUUUGCCGUAGAGUUAUGAUUCAUCUUGGGUUCUGAGUACACAUCCAGAUCUCCUUCUUGUGCCUUUGGAUCACCAAUUGUAGUGGCUCACUCAUACAUAAUAGACUCAUACCGGUGACCUUCAGUCAUCCAUACAAUCCUUCCGUCAGAACAGAAAUUAGCGAUGGAAUAGAAUUGCAUGAUCAUCUCAUCAUUCCAAGCAGUCAUCUCUCUGCCAACAAAAUAUUUAAUAUCGACUAGCCUGAAGUUUUCUCUCACAUGGGGAAAAUAAUGCUCACUGGCCUUGAUAUAUUCCCAAUGGACAUAUCUCAUAUCGCUGACUGCAAGACUCUUAUCAUGAAACACACUCUCAUAGAAAUCUUGUUGCUCCUUUAUGUGAAAGCGGGGAUCAACAACAGUUCUCCGUCUCACAUCAUAUGGAUCAACUGAUCUCCACUUACUCACUCCUUGAUCUCUCCUCUUUUGUAUGUCCUGAGCAGUUGGUGAGCAACAUUGUGUAGUGGCAGAUGAGCUCAAAGCUUCAUUAGAACAGGGGCACCCUCUUCCUCUUCUACCGCAAACUCUCUGGAUGCAGAGCCUUUGUUCCUCUGUGCUGCAGGAAUGUCCUUGGUAGUCUUCUUGGGAGCUACAGACUUCUUAGGAGUUGAGAACUUCUUGGGAGCAGAAGGCUUCUUUGGCAUAGCAUCAACCAUCGGCUUUUUCUUCAUAGGAGGAGGGACCUUAUGUGGAAUUUAUUCCUCCUCCUCAUCAACAACUUCUUCUGGGUCUUCAUAUAUUGAGGUUGGCCUUCCAAUAACAUAGUCAAUUCUCUUUCUUGCUCUCGUAUGACAUGGCUUCUUUGCAAGCCUAGCUUCUGGAGCUUUCAUGUCAGAACGUAUGGCAUAUUCCUUCCUCACAGUCUUCCUGACUGCGGUCUUAUCUUUCUGCUUCUCAGGAACAGAUUCCUCUGGAAUAAAGUCAACAUCUUCUUCAUCCGAAUUGAUCUUCCUUCUGGACCUGGUAGCUGCCUUGGACAAGCUAUGGGAGCUAGGUGUCCCUGGGUCAGAAGGUGUCCUCCUAGGACUAGUGCCUGAAUCCAUCUCAGCACUUGGCUCAGUGAAGUUGUUCUGACUAUCCUCUGAUCCUGACAUACUGUCACAGAGCCAAGUAGACAAUCAAACCCUAUGAAUAGAUAUACAAGAUCUAGAAGGGAUGAGCAUCACAAAAAUCAGAAGUUUUGGAAAAAUCGAACUCUGAAAAGUUAGGUUUAACAUUUAGCAAAAAAGGAUUUGUGUUCCAUCGAGACAAAAAUUUCGGAGGCACCGAUACUGACGUACUAAUUAACAGAAACUUGGCACCCUUUUCCGUUCCACUGAAAAGGAGAACUCACUUUCACCGAGACCGUUCUCGGUAGCCCUAAAAAAUCGUUAAGACCAACUUUUCUAAAUCGGUGACACCGAGAUUCAAUCUUGCGGAUGGCUAACCCUAAGAAUUCCAUUGUUCUCUAAUCUAUGGAAUUUUUCUUCUAGAUAGGAUGAGUGUAGAAGUGGACAAAAUUCAUCAAAACCUUAAUGCACAAGAAUCAGAAUUGGAGCGCAUAAAGGGGUCGGAUCCGUACCCUAGCUUGGUGAUGUAUCCGCUACGGCAACGACGACGGUGAAGAUUCCUGUUGACAACGAAGACUCCGGUGGUGAGGGCGCACGUGAGAAUUAAGGCGAUGUCCACGGGACUAGGGCGCGGCAUCGAGGAUGUGCGUCACGCGACGUUUGAAGUGAUUUUCCAAUCAUCGGGUCCGUGAGAUAUAUAUAUCUCCUAGCUGUCGGUGACACCGAUAUGGAAUUUUUGGUGCCACCGAGUUCCACAACUGUCAACUGAAAGUGAAAAUAGGUGAGGCCGGAAAGAACAACUCAGUCAUACCAAGUUAAGAAAACCUGAUCAACCCUAGGCUUCGGUGGGACCGAGAUUUUGUGGUUGGUCACACCGAGAUGCAAUUUGGGAGGUUUUGGGAUUCAGCACUUGUCGAGACGGAUCUAUCAAGCACUUGUGUCCCUAAAGUUCUUGCUCAAAUUUUGUGUUGUAGCAUGAAUAGAAUUUGAGACGAGAAAGCAUAGAUAGCUAGAGGGAAGUACUUAGGCAUUCUUGUAUAUCCAAUUGGCCAAAUGAAAUAGAAAGACAAAUAACAACAAUUGGAUAUCCUCGAAUGAGAAAAAUAUGCAUACCAACAUGCUCACACAAUAAGGUGUCAAAUAAAACAUGGUGAACAUGCACGAACAUUCUAGCAUCUAUCAAGCACUUUGGCGAUAAGGAAUUCAUCUAUAUAUGAGUAUAUUGACAUAGGAGCCAAGUAAGAGUACUUGACAAUAGGUCAUACUCAUCGAUUAAGAACAAGUGGGGUUAUCACUUUUACAUAAAACAUUAAUGUGCUCACAUCAUUUAGGAGACGCUUAUACUCAAGUCUUAGAGUAAAGCUCCUCCUAGAUGUGACAACCCCCUAAGAGGGAUAAACUAACCUUAGGUUUUGUAGUAGAAGAUUUCAAGUAGGUGUAGUAGUGGUGCAUGCUCAUUGUUGAUAAAGAUCAUCUUUGAGUUGGGAGCAAUCCUAGUUGUUUCUUACCCUUCUCACCUACAUGGGUUAGUCCCAAAGCAAAAGGAAUGUAUGCAAGAAUAUCUAUGGACAUGGCAUGAAGUGCAUGAGAGGUGAUGUAAAAAUAUGCAUUAAUUACCUUGUCCUUUGCUUACCUUUGAGGUAAUGUGUGACUCCUUGAACUAAUGCAUAUGGUUGGAGUUGAUUGCAUAUAGUUCUUGCCAAAAUGAAUAAGAGUGAAUUUGAUUGGUAGAGUCACCCCCUCAAGAAGUUUCUAGUUCUUCAUCUUAGGGACCCACAUCAACUUGAUGGGGAUCCUUGGAGUUGUGAUAGCAGUAGAUGAGGUAGUGUUAGUUGUGUCCAUGGGAUUCCACUCGACCUUGGCUUGGGUUUCUUCCUCAAAUGAUUCAAUCUCCUCUUGAAGCUUUCCCUUGCCCUUGUGAUCUUGUGGUUGAAGGUCAUGUUGAGAGCUUGUUCCCUUGGGAAGAGUAGGAUCAUACUUUUCCUCUUGAGGAACGAACUUCGGUAUGGGAUAUAGACCUUCUUCCCAUUCAUCUCCGUUGGCAUUGAGGUAACCAACACCGUGCUUCUUCCGAUGUCCUCCUAGCUUGCGCAUAAUUUACUCGAAUUGCUAACUUUCGGCAAGACUCUUGAAGACACCUCUCUCUUCCUUUCCAUAAAUCAUUUUCUUUCUCAAGUGUAACUUGGCUAAGAGAAUCAUUAGUGGAAUCAAGAGAGCUACUAGAAACAACAUCAUUUGAUCUAACUUUAGCAUUUUGUUACUAGAUGAAGAAACUUUCUUGCAUUUGUUACUAGUGUUCUUAGGUUUGACUUGUGGAAUAAAAGUAGAUAAGAUUAAUCAUUUGAAUAGAUAAGAAUAACUCUUCUUCCGAAGAUCAUCAUUGAUUGCUCUUAGAAACUCAUGAUCUUGUCCUAAAUUUAGCUUCUCGAAGCAUAACUUCUCAUGAGUUCUUGCAAGCUCCCUUUGAUCUUCUAGAGUAGUUUCACGAGCUAACUUAAGAGUGUUAAAUACUUUAGUUAGUUGUUGAGUAUCUUUCUUAUCAUCAUCAUUCGAUUUCUCUUGACUAGCAUGAUUAUGUUCAAGUUCAUUUUCAAUGUUCUCACUAGUCUUAUCAAGGAGCAAGUCAUCUCCUCCUAACAAGUCAUCCUCAUCACUAUCAGAGUCAAAGUAAUUGGGGUGUGAUACCUUGGGGCCUUUUUCCAUGAAGUUGUUUCCAGUCCCUUCAUUUGGUGAAUCAAAUAAGUCAUAGGAGUUGGAGGAAACGAGUUCAAGACCGACAACACCUUCAUCUUGACUAUAGUCAGAGUUGGAGUGGUAGCUUCUCUCAGAUUGGUUGUCAGACUCGGAGCCGGAAAGCCUUUCACCAACAUGAUCUUGAUGUCUUGUUCUUGAGAUGCUCUUGGUGUACUUGUCCUUCCUCUCCAAUUCCUUUCCUCUCUGGGAGUGUCUUCGUUCAUAAUGAUCUUCUCUAAUCCUUCUCUUUGUGAGAGGUGACUCAUCUCUUGAGCUUCGUCUUCUAGGUGACUAUUCUCUUCUUUUGUGGGGAGCCGAGCACUCAUUGGAAUAGUGUCCUGGGUUUCCAUAGUUGUAGCAGUAUCGGUCACGACUAGACGAACGCUUCUCAUCAUGUAUUGAGCUUGAGCUUCUCUCCUUGCAUCUACUUUUGUAGAACUUGUUCAAUUUUAUGACCAUGAGGUUGAUCUCUUCAUUCGUAACAAAGUUGUCAUUUGAAGUAUCUUGAGUAUAACUUGAAACUCUGUAAGUACCGCUUGACUUGUUGUGCAACUCAUCUUUGUCCUUGAGUGACAUUUCAUGAGCAACAAUCCUUCCAAUAGCUUCAGUUGGCUUGAGAUCCUUGUAGUUUGGCAUCAUUUGAAUUAAUAUACACACGGUGUCGUAUCUUCCAUCCAAGGCUCUAAGUAUAUUCUUGAUGAUGAAUUAGUCGGUCAUCUCUUCACUUUCUAAGUCGGCAAUCUCAGCGACUCCCUCACCAUCCUUCAUCUUGAACUUGUCAAGAUGACUUUGAGGCACAUCCAACUUAGAUUCCAUGACAAAAUCAGCACCUUCGUGCAGAUGAAUCAAAGUAUCCCACGUGCAGAUGAAUCAAAGUAUCCCAAAUUUUCUUUGCAUUCUCAAGGCUUGAGAAUUUUAUUGCAACAUGUUCAAUUCUUCCGAUGUCGCAUCACGAUCCGGUUCCCUUGCUUCUCCAAAUAAAUCACCUUGCACACCAACACGAAUAACAGCCCAAACGGUAGGAUUAUGACCAAGAAUAUGCAUUUUCAUCUUAUGCUUCCAACUAGCGAAGUUUGUACCAUCGAAAUAUGCACCUCUACAGUGAUAAUUUCCCUCACUAGGCGCCAUACUCUCCUAGGUUGUGAAACCAAUGCAAUGGAGGCCAAAACUUUGAUACCACUUGUAGGAUCGAAAGGAUGUCUAGAGGGGGGAGGGUGAUUAAACUACUUGACAAGAUCAAAACUUAGCCUUUUCCCAAUUUUAGUUGUGGUCCAGUUUUAGAAACUACGAGUGGUCAAGUUCAGCCUACACAUGCAUAUCUAAGAGUAUAGAAGCGGAAAGUAAAUACAUGCAAAUGUAAUGUAGAGGGUAAGGUAGGAAGAUCAAACACAAAGGUUGACACAACUAUUUUUGGCGUGGUUCCGAUAGGUGGUGCUAUCAUACGUCCACAUUAGUGAAGACUUGAACCCAUGGAGGGUAAUGACUGCGAGAGUCCACGGAGGGCUCCACCCAUAAGGGGUCCACGAAGAAGCGGCCUUGUCUAUUCUACCAUGGCUUACAUCCACACAGGAGACAAGACUAGCCUCACUCACGGUACAUCUUCAUGAACUAGGCGAUCUCGUUGCCCUUACAAACUUCUUGGUUCAACUCCACAACACGAAGUAGGAGGAUCCCAAGCGACACCUAACCAAUCUAGGAGGCACCACCCUCCAAAAUGUAAUAGAUGCGGUAGAAUGAUGAACUCCUUGCUCUUGUGCUUCAAAAGAUAGUCUCAUCAACACUCAAUCACUCUCUCACAUAUUUGGCAUGGGUAGAAGAGAUUGAUCUUGUGGAAAAAACUUGGGGAGCCUACAGAUCAAGUUUCAAAUUGUUGAAUUGGAGUCUCUUGAUCUCAACAGAUCAGUAGGUUGCUCUCUCUCAGAAAUAUGGAUCUCGCAAGUGGGUGUAUGUUCUGAGUGCUUCCUCUAUGAAAUUGAGGAUGUGGAGGGGUAUAUAUAGGCAUCUCCCAAAAUCCAACCGUUACAACAUUAUUGCCCAACUCGGUGACAUUGAAAGGAAUCUUGGUGGUAUCGAGUUGCACUAAAUGUGGCAACUUUUGAAUUCUCGAUGAGACCAAUAUAUGAUCUCGGUGGUACCGAUACGAUGACCUAGACCAGUUUCCAAAUCUCAGCGAGACCGGCUCCAAUCUCGGAAAUUCUGAUUCUUGGAAUUUUCAUAACAGAAAGUUGGUCACUGAAUCUCGGUGGCACUGAUAUGAAAGUUGGUGGUACCGAGAGAUUAGGGUUUGGCAAAGGAUCUCUCUGGUGGAAAAUCAGUAGGGUCGAGUGGAAAAUAUUGGUGGCACUGAUUUUGCUGGUUUAGCUUUGGACAAAGAUAUAUUGUGGGAGAAUGGCUGAGUAUUUUUGGUGGCUAUCUCUAUGCACUUGAUCAACCAAUUCAUCAUAAUACCCCACCCCUUUUAAUAGUAUUGGGUUUCCUAUGGACUGAAAGUGAUUUCUCACAAAUGUAAAAUGUAGAGUCUUCUUGCUUGAAGCUUAAGCCAAUCCUAUUCCUUCCUUCAUCAAGGGGUUUCUCCUCACAAUCCUGUAGCCAAGGAAUCUUUGAAUUUUUUCCGAAAUAUACUUUGAUAAGCUCAUUAGUCCAAUGAUGCAUAUGUUUUGAUCAAUUAUCACGACCACCUUAGGGAACAAUUGUGCUUUCAGAGAGUUUCACCCCUCACAAACUGUUGUCGUUGCCACCAUAUAAACUAAGAAGCCACUACAAUCAGUUAUGAUGUUGGCAGCUCCCCUACUUUGGAUUGGUUUCUCUCUAAAACCUCAAUAGUUACAGAUCCUGACCGGUCCUCACAAACUGCCUUAUGGAUCACAUCUUUCACUCCAAGCUUUUUCCAAAUUCUAGAAGCACAACAAGAGGUGAAUAAGUAGUUAGAUAUCUUCAAACCCAACAUUGACUAGUAACAUGUAUGUGACAGCCAGUGAGCACUCCAAAGCAUGGUCGAAUUCCCCUCAGAACCUUCCAUGCAAAGGGUUUAACUUUGCGACAAACUCGAAGCCUUCAAGUAUGUUGUGUGUAAGUGUUAAACAUAAGAAAGUUGUUAAACUAAAUUGUGUUCUUAAUUUGUGCUAUAUAACUAGAUAUUGUGCCUUCUAUGAUACUACAAUUACUGUUAAACUGAAAAGCCCGCCACGACAACCAAAAAUGUUGACGUGUUCACUUGGCCUGACAAACAAUACUAGUGGCGGGCAUGUAUAAUAAACUGCCACUGGUACAAACAUUAGCAGUGGUGGACGCCCUGCCUGCCACUGAUGACUGGUUAGUAGCGACAGACACCCUUCACAAUAACCCUGCCAUUGGUAGGCAUUUUGUGUCUGCCACUGCUAGCCUGUUCUCCAGUAGUGACAAGGGUUUUCCUCCAAGACUAUAUCAUUCAUACCUAGUAUGCGUAGGAGUUAUCACCCGAUUUAAUGCAUGCAUGAUAGCAUGAAUCCUUUAGGGAUAAUUUGGAAGCAAGGUAAAGAAAAUGAGGGUAGCAAAUCCUCCCUUAUCACAUGAAUUUAAACAUCCCAUGUUAUUCACUUUAUUAAGUUGCCCCAUUUCAUUAAGUAAAAUUGUGCCCCUCAAAUUCACAAGAUUCCAAAGUUGUGGGAAUGAAAAGUACAAUGAGACGUCCAACUAAAUCAUAUAAUGUUUGUGAAUUUUGAAUCAAAGUUUUUUGAUUGUGCCACAGAAAGAACAAGAAUAUUAUUUACACUUUGUUUGAGCCAAUGCAAUUUUUCUUAUGUAAUGCAAGCAAAAUUGAAUCUGAAGGAGAAAAAUUUCCAAUAGGAUACGACUUUGGGGAUCAAAUAACACCCAUAGUAAAAAAGCAUAGGUCUAUUUAUAUCACAUCUAUAUUAUCUCACAUCUAAGUUAUGACAUCAGCGAAAGUCAAUGCUUUUCCAGCCCACCGCAUUUUCUUAUAUUUAUUUUUUUGCGACAUUUUUUCAUUCGUUUUUUUAUUGGAGCGUGCUAAAAAAUGCAAUAAGACUUGCCUAUGAAUCGAACUCAAGACUAGAUGGUGGUAGUUGAGAGCUCCCACCAGUAUAACCAUUACAUGCAUUUGAUAAAUUCUAAGCGGCAUAUCUUUAAGAAAAUACAACAGAGUUGAUAUUAGAAGAAAUUUUCAAGAAAAAUGUAAAAAAUUUUAAAUGUAAAAUAUUUCUGAAAACCAAAGAAAACUUGAAAUUUCCAAAGUAUUUUUCAAAUAUAAAUAAAGUUUGUAAUGCCAAACAUUUUUUGAAAAAUUAGAAAACAAUUUGAUAUUCCGAUUUUCUUAAAAAAGAUGACACUUUUUGAAAAAUUCCCGAACAAUUUAUAAAUCAGGUACACCUUUUAAAAUUCCAAUUCCUUUAAAAAACAUGGUUAAAUGAAUAUAUUUUUAUUGUAAUCAUAACUUUUCAACAAAUGUUUUUUUGCACCAUUAAAAGAAUGAGGGUGCAAAGAAUGUUCAUGUAGUUCACAAGAAUGUCCGUGAUGUUUAAUAAAAAUGUAUUAUACAAUGGAAAAUAAUCAUAACAUUCAAAUAAUUAUUAUUUACAAUCUUUUAAAAGAAACUUCACGCAUUUAGAAAAAUCAAAACAUUUUCUAGAAAAAAUAUUUGUCCGAUGUAAAAAAAAUGUUCACGUAUUUUUUUAAAAAUCAUACAAUUUAGAAAAAUGAUUUAAAAAAUGUUUACCAUGUAUUCUAAGAAUGCUUGGGCCUGUACUUGGAAAAAAAUAUUCAUCAUGCAUUUUUAAACAAUGGUAUGUGUGUUAAAAAAUGUUCCUAGUGUAUACAUGAAAAUGUACAAUGUGCAUUACAAAAGUUGACAUGUAUUUGUGAAAGCUAAAUUGCUCCCUAAGGUGGUUUUGAUAAUUAGUCACAUCAUAUGCAUCAUUGGACUAGUGAGUUUAUUCAAAUGCAUUUAAAAAAGUUCAAAGAUGCUUUGGCUAUAGGAUUCUGUGGAGAUACCCCUUUGAUGCAAGGAAGGAAUAUGAUUGGUUCAAGCUUCAAGCAAGAAGACUCUACAUUUUAUACUUUGUGAGAAAUCACUUUGAGUCCAUAGAAAAGCCAAUACUAUUAAAAAAGAGUGAGGUGUGAUGAUGAAUUGGUUGCUCAAGUGCUUAGAGAUAGCCACCAAAAAUACUGAGUCACUUUCCGACAAAAUAUAUAUGUCCUAAGCCACAUAAGCAAAAUCGAUGCCACCAACAUUUCCUACUCGUCCAUACCGAUUUUACACUUAGACAAAUUAUAUGCCAAACCCAUCAUCUCGGUACAACCAACAUUCCUAUCGGUGCCACCGAGAUUUGGUGACCAACAUUCUGUUGAGAUGAUUUCAAGUUUCGGAUUUUUUGAGUUUGAAUUUUGUCUCACCGAGUUUUGGAAACCAGUCUAGGUCAUCGUAUCGGUACCACCAAGAUUCUUAUAUCGGUCUCACCGAGAAUUCAAAAGUUGCCACAUUUAGUGCAACUUGGUACCACUGAGAUUCUUUUUGGUGUCACCGAGUUGGGCAAUACUGUUGUAACGGUUGGAUUUUGGGGGAUGCUUAUAUAUACCCCUCCACCUACCUCUCAUUCGUAGAGGAAGCACUCAGAACACACUUACACUUGUGAUAUCCAUUUUUCUGAGAGAGAGACACCUACUCAUGUGUUGAGAUCAAGAGAUUCCAAUCCAUUCAUUUGAACCUUGAUUUCUAGCCUUCCCAAGUUGCUUUCCACAAAAUCAAUCUCUCUUACCCAUGCCAAAUCUAUGAGAGAGUGAUUGAGUGUUGAGGAGACUAUCUUUUGAAGCACAAGAGCAAGGAGUUCAUCGUUCUACCACAUUGAUUACCUUUUGGAGGGUGGUGCCUCCUAGAUAGGUUAGGUGUCUCUUGGGAGCCUCUUACUUCGUAUUGUGGAGUUGAACCAAGAUGUUUGUAAAGGCAAGGAGAUCGCCUACUUCAUGAAGAUGUACCGUGAGUGAGGCUAGUCCUUCGUGGGCGGAAGCCGUGGUGGAAUAGACAAGGUCACUUCUUCGUGGACCCCUUGUGGGUGGAGCCCUCCGUGGACUCUCGCAGCCGUUACCCUCCAUGGGUUGUAGUCUCCACUAACAUGGACGUACGAUAACGCCACCUACCGGAACCAUGCUAAAAAUCUCCGUGUCAACCUUUGUGUUUGAUCUCCCUACCUCACCCUCUACUUUUUUUUGAUGGGAAACUGUAAGCAAAACCCCUCACAACGAGUUUUUUUUGAAAUAAUAAGAACUCAAAUUCGCGCCCGUGGGGACUUGAACGUGGGUGGCUGGGUUGUACAUCUACUCCACUAGACAAGUGAGCUAGGCUCACUUCCUUUACUCUUGCAUGUUUUACUUUCCGCUGCUAUACUCUUAGAUAUGCAUGUGUAGGGUUUACUUGACUAGUUAUAGUUGCUAAAACUGUCCCACACUUCAAAUUGGGAAACAACUAAGUUUUUAUCUUGUCAAGUAGUCUAAUCACCCCGCCUCUAGACAUACUUUCGAUCCUACAAUUUGGAAAAAUAACUAUAUAGGGGUACUGGGUUGGGAAUGAUUUGCAUGAGGAGAGUGGACAUGCAACUAUGUCGGACAUGAGCUGCAUGACUGAGUCGGGUGGGUUUACGUGUUGGGGUGGAAUGGAACUAGAUAGGGGCCGAGGCAAGUUGCGUGUUGAAAAACAAAACACAAGCUUACUUGUGCAUUAAGGGUGGACUUGCAAUUGGAAGAAGAGCUAGGUUGUGAGUGGAGGAUAGACUUACAUAUGGGACAACUACAAAUUGAGACCAAUUGCGUGUCAAUGGUUGACUUAAAACUGGGAUAAAACAAACUAUGGUUCAAGUUGCGAGUUAACGGUGGAUUUGCAACUAGGAUGAUGACAAAAAUAUAGGCUCACUUGCGAGUCAUUUGUGGGCUUGCAACUGGAAUAAAACAAACUAUGAGACUAGUUGCGAGUCGAUGUUGGACUUAUAACCGAGACAAGCAUAUAAACUAUGAUACGAGUUGAGAGUUGAGAGUAAACUUGCAAUUGAGAUGAAAAACAAAACACAUACCCAAUUGCGUGUCGAGGAUGGACUUGUAACUGAGAAAACAAAAAUAUGGGCCCGACUGCGAAUCGAGGAUGGACUUGCAACAGGGACAACAAAAAAACUAUGAUCCCACUUGUGAUUCGAGGACAAACUUGCAAUUGAGGCCCCUACAAGUACAAAGCCCUUAGUUACGAGUUGAGGUUGGAUUCGCAACUCGGGAAACUACAGGUACAGAAAGCCCAGUUGCGAGUCGAGGAUGGACUUGGAACCUUGAAAAUACGACUACAAAAAAGCCUCUGUUCCGAUUUGAGGGUGGACUUGCAACUGGGGCAACUACAUGUACAAAAAGGUCCCAGUUGUGAGUCGAGGGUAGAUUUUCAACUACGAUAACUACAGGUACAAACCUCGAGUUACGAGUCAACGGUGGACUUGCUACUAGGGUACCUAAAAUUACAACGCCUCGAGUUACGAGUCGGCGAUGGAGUUGAAGCUGGUGCACCUACAACUACAAAGCCUCGAGUUGCGAGUUGAGGAUGGACUUGCAACUAGAUUAACUACAAAGUACAAAAGAAAACCAGUUGUGAGUCAAGGGUUGACUUGCAACUAAGACAUCCACAGUUACACAAAAACCCCUAGUUGCAAAUCAAGGAUGGACUUGCAAGUGGAGCAACAAUAGGUACAAAGCCAGUUGUGAGUCGAUGGUAGACUUGCAACUUGGCCAACCACAACUACAAUACCUUCAAAAGAAGGGUGAAACUAUGAAAUUGGGAUGAAACCAACUAUGGGACCAGCUGCGUGUCGAGGGUGGACCUGGAACCGGGAUAAGAAAAAAAGUACAAGCUCAAGUUGUGAACCGAUGAUGGGGUUGAAACUCGAACAACUACAGGUUCAGUUACGAGUCGAUGAUGACUCCAAACUUGCACAACUACAAAACUAGGAGCCCAGUUGCGAGUCAUGGGUUGAUUUGCAACUAGGAUAAAACAAACUACUGGACCAGUUGCGAGUCAAGGGUGGACCUGCAACCGGCAUGAGAAACUAAACACAGUCUGAGUUGCGGCUCAAGGGUGGGCUUGAAACUGCUAUGAAACAAACUUCAUGCCUAGUUGCGAGGUCAGGAUGUACUUGUAACUGGGACAACUACAUGAAACUAAGAUAUGAGUUGCAAGUCGAGGGUGGACUUGCAACACGGACAAACUACACAAAACUACGAUACGAGUUGUAGUCGCGAGGGUGAACUUGUAACUGGGACAACUACAAAACUACGAGUCGAGUUGCAAUUCAAGUAUAUCAUUGCAAUUGGGAUGAAACAAACUACGGGCCUAAUUGCGAGUCAAGGGUGAACCUGUAACUGGGAUGAAAAACUACACAUAGACCGAGUUGCGAGUCAAGACUAGACUUGCAUCUAGGAUGAAAUAAACUACGGGCCUAGUUGUGAGUCAAGUGAGUACUUGCAACUCGGGAAAAUACACAAAACGACUACGAGUAGCGAUUCAACAGUUGACUUGCAACUCGGACAACUAAAUGAAACUACGAUAAGCGUUGCGAGUCCAGGGUAGACUUGCAGCUGGGACAACAAUAAGGCUAUGGGCUCAGUUGCGAUUCGAAGGCAAAUUUGCAAUUGGGACAACUACGAAACCAUGAGCCCAGUUGUGAGUCAAGGGUGAACUUGCAACCAGGAUGAAACAAACUACAUGCCUAGUUGCGAGGCAAGGGAGGACUUGCAACUCGGCAAGUACACAAAACUACCAUACUAUUUGGGAGUCAAGGAUGGACUUGCAACCGAAACAAUAACAAACUACGAGCCCAGUUACGAGUUGAAUGUGGACUUGCAACUAGGAUGAGAAAAACACAUAAUGAUUUAUGAGUUUAGGGUAAACUUGUAACUAGGAAAACUAAAAAUUCAUUUACGAGUUAAAGAUGGACUCUACAAAUUCUCGGUCAUGCCAAAAAAACACACAACGAAAAUGAACAAAAAAUAUAAAGGGAUCGCGCCUCCCAAGCAACGAUAAAAGUAACAUGAGAACAUGCGAGCAUAAAACAAAAUGGAACAAGAGGACGCGCGACAAGAGAGAAAGAGCUGACACGGACGCACAUGAUCGACUUUGUGCAAACAUCAAACAAAUCAGAUGAUUAUAACUUGAUAAGACAUCACUAAAUCUCAUCUAAAUAAGAUUUAGCAAAUCUAAAAAAUAUCUAGUUACACUCUCCUCUACUACACAGUCAAACUAAAAUAAACAUAUAACCCACAAAAAGCUAGUACACACAACGUAAAAGGGCACACUAAAAAAAGUCAUAUAUGACCUCACUGCUUAACGAGGAGCGAAUGAAAAACACGACACAUCAACAAUGAAAGUGAAUCAUAAGCAUAUGAAUCAGAUGAGACGUUGUUAACUCACAUUUACUCCCUCCGUACCUAAAUAUAAGUCUUUUAAUAUAUUUCAUUAGGUGUCUACAUACAAAGCAAAAUGAAUGAAUCUAUACUCUAAAACAUGUCUAUAUACAUUUGUAUGUAGUCCAUUAGUGCAACAUCUAGAAAGACUUAUAUUUAGGAACGGAGGGAGUAGAUGAGAAUUAGACGUGAGUUAACAAAAACAAUAAAAAAAGAAACCCCUGGAUCAUACCGUAGUGACCCACCAAAUGACGCACGUAGAAGUAGGUAAGUAAGUAAGUAUCUUGGAUUACCUGCGAUAGUGGGAGCAGAUAGGAGUGAAAGCUUUGAAUACUUUUGUGACAAAAUCAAGAAGCUUCUGAAGGGGUGGAUGGAAAAGCAACUGUCAACAGGAGGGAAAGAAAUCUUGUUAAAAGCAGUGGCUCAAUCCAUCCCUGUCUUCGCUAUGUCAGUUUUCUGUUUGCCUAAGGGAACUUGCAAGGAUAUCACGGAUGUAAUUGCUCAGUAUUGGUGGGGAGAUGAUGAAGAAAACAAAAAAAUGCACUGGUUCUCGUGGUGGAAACUAUGCAUCCGAAGUGUGAUGGUGGCAUGGGUUUCCGCGAUCUUCACUCUUUUAACUUGGCCCUUCUUGCGAAACAAUGUUGGAGAUUGAUCACAAGGUCGGAGUCCAUCUGUGCUCGCAUCUUGAAGGCAAAAUACUACCCAAAUACAGACUUGCUACACGCUGGACCAAAGAGCGGAUCUUCGUUCACAUGGCAAAGCUUGAUGGCGGGCUUGACUGCGUUUAAAAGAGGGUACAUUUGGCGAAUUGGUUCGAGGGAAAAUGUAAGUAUAUGGAAUGAUCCAUGGAUACCCUCAAGCCCGGACAGAAGGGUGAUAACUCCUCGGCGGCAGAUUCUGAUUUCGAGGGUGGUAGAGCUCAUUGAUCCAGUCACCGGCCAAUGGGAUGAACAAUUGAUACGAGACAUCUUUUACCCAGUCGAUGCAAACAGAAUCUUGCAGAUACCUUUAAAUUUUCAAGCAUUUGAUGACUUCAUUGCGUGGCACCUCACAAGGAAUGGUAUUUUCUCGGUGAGGAGUGCUUAUCAUGAACAAUGGUCACAUAAGCUCAGGGGUCAAUCCCUUGUGAAUUCAGUGUCCACCAGUACUAUGCAGGCAGCUAUUUGGAAGAAGCUCUGGGAGUUACAAGUGCCAUGGAAAAUACAGAUUUUCUUUUGGCGGGCGUUGCGUGGAAUUGUACCACUAAAAUCCAUUCUUGCUAAUAAGCACAUCCCUAUUGAUGGGGAGUGUCCGGUGUGCCAUAGGGGACCUGAAGACAUGCGGCAUAUGUUAUUCCAGUGUGAUUUGGCGAGAAGGUUGUGUGCUGGACUAGGGCUGAUUGAUCGUAUUGAACAAGCAGUUCAAGUGGAUCGCUCAGGGUCAGCCAUCUUAGAAUUUCUCCUACUAGAGCUGGACCAACCAAUGUCGAUCAUGUCAAGUAUUAAUGACAAAGAGGUAAUAGCGGCUGGCUGCUGGUAUCUCUGGUGGCUCCGCCGGCGACACACCCAUCAUGAUUCUUGCCCUCCAUCCUUCAGGUGGCAUACCUCAAUUCUAGCAAUAGUGGGAAAUUACAUAAAAUCUUUAUCAAAGAAGAGGGAACCGGUGGAACACAAGUGGAAGAGACCAGAGGCAAGAUUUAUAAAGCUAAAUGUGGAUGCUUCAUUCCAUUCAGAUGAAGGAUCGAGUUCUACUGCAGGUAUCUUACGAGAUGAAAAGGGUGGCUUUAUUGCAGGGUUUUGCAGAUUCAUUCCCUUUGCAGCUGACGUUGUCACGAUUGAAGCAAUGGCAAUGCGAGAUGGUUUACAUUUGGUGAACUCCUUGGGCUUUAACAGGGUAGAAGCGGAAUCAGAUUCUUUGAGCGUCAUCAAGUGUUGCCAAGGGCAAGAUCAGUGGUGGGAUGCAGCAGCGGCUGUCUUUGCUGAGUGCAUAGAUAUGGCUACAUCUAUAGGAAAGGUCAUCUUUUCUCAUUGUUUUCGUGAAGCUAAUUCAGUAGCUCAUGAGCUAGCAAAGUUUAGUUUCUGUAAUAAAGUUGAGCACAAUUGGACUAAUGAACCUCCUGAGUUCUUAGUUAGCCAAUUGAUGAAUGAUGUUUUGAUUAUUUGAGUUAAUAAAGCUAGCCAUGAUGGCCUUUCCUCAAAAGAAAAAAGGAAACGCAUGUACGCGACACUAGAUGCAGCAACAAAAUAAUCCAUGAUUAAGAUUUGAAAAAAUGUAAAACAAACAGAUGAGAGUAUGUUUUUCAUGAAUAUUAAAAAAAAUGGAAAACAAGAAAAUACAAAUAUAAAUAAAAGAAAACCAGGAAACUAAAAUACUUGAUAAUUUGAAACAAAUAAUAAAACAGAAAAAAGAAAAAGAAAAAGAAGAAACAACAAAAGUAAUGCGGCAGCCGAUAUAGGCUACAGCCCAUAUAACAAGAAGAACCUAUAGGUACGAGGGCAGCUACCUAACAUACCGUUGGCGAUCCUAAAAAAAGUGAUCCUCAAACGCAACAUUCGUUUCUUCAAAAACAGGGUUGGGGGGGGGGGGAUAACAUAGUGUAUGAAACAGAACUACUAGACGGAUGAAAAAAGCAAAUCAAUCCGUGGUUGGAUGAUUGGAGAGACAGUGAUAUCCCAGCACAUCAGGGUUUAAAUCCUGAUGCUACACUAUUUUUAAAUUUAUUUCAGGAUUUCCGACAAUAUGCUUUCAGUGGGAGGAGACAUUCCCGUCGAGGAUAAGAUGCCUACAGUGACUUUGUAAAUCUCAAGACGAUAUACUCGCUCAGUCUUUGAGAGAUGUUCAUAGGGAUAAGAUGUGUGUAUGUUCGGUUUAGGAGUUAAAUCUGAGAUAAGUAUUUUACAUCUAGAUGUGAAAUAGCAAUUUCAAAAAUUCAUAUGAAAAAUCUCUGAAUGAAAAAGACUCAUUAACUUAGAAACUCCAUGCAAAAAUACAAGGCUAACUUUUUUUCUCUUAAAUAAAAAAGAAAAAUAGAGAAAAAUGACGGAGGAUAACACUUGGCAGUGGGCGGGUGAAACACAUCACAAUUUUAUUUUCAAAUUGAUCUCUAACCAGGAAAAUACCCCGCGCAUACAACCAAGACCACGCACUCACCCCAUCGCAUGGCCUCCACACGCCUUGUCGAUAUCCAUGGUGGCAUCUAGCGCCGGCCGGGUGGCACGGAUCCCCCUUCACUCCCUCAGCGUGUGAACGUCGUCGCUCCAGCCCAACCGUUGCUCGUGUUCAGGAUAAGCUGCCCAGCUCGUCCGCCCUUCUUAUUGCCGCUGCUUCUCAGCUCACACGCUCCAACACUAUCCUCUCGUGUCUCGUCGAGCUAUCUGUCCACGGAGUAGUACCUUCCCGAGCUAGCUCGCAGCUCCGCCGCAAUGGCCACCGUGGUGAGCAGCCUCCGCUUGCCCUUCUCCGUCUGCGCCGCCGCCCCCUCGGCGCCCAUGGCAUCCCGCGUCGCGCUCCCGCUGUCGUCGACGGCUGCCAGGGGCAUGAGGCUCCGCGCGCAGGCGACGUACAAGGUGAAGCUGAUCACGCCGGAGGGCGAGGUGGACCUCGAGGUCCCCGACGACGUCUACAUCCUCGACCACGCCGAGGAGGAAGGGAUCGACCUGCCCUACUCCUGCCGCGCCGGCUCCUGCUCCUCCUGCGCCGGGAAGGUGGUCUCCGGCCAGCUGGACCAGUCCGACCAGAGCUUCCUCGACGACGACCAGAUCGAGGCGGGGUGGGUGCUCACCUGCGCCGCGUACCCCACCUCGGACCUCGUCAUCGAGACACACAAGGAGGAGGAGCUCACCGCUUGAAUUCACUGAUUUUGUGUAUUUCCAUCCGUUUCCGGCGUGCGCGUGUAUAUGCACGAUGCAUGAACUGUAUCAGGAUAUUGAGGAGUUACAGAGUAAUUAGUACUUGCUG
Molecule: long non-coding RNA, 25667 nt
Filed under: Hordeum vulgare
Lineage: Eukaryota; Viridiplantae; Streptophyta; Magnoliopsida; Poales; Poaceae
Description: long non-coding RNA (HVUL_LNC019543)
Source: RNAcentral